RNAcentral lists this ribosomal RNA (253 nucleotides) under uncultured bacterium. RNAcentral describes it as "partial 16S ribosomal RNA". It matches the Rfam family "Bacterial small subunit ribosomal RNA", at positions 524 to 776 of the family's 1533-position model. The record is from RNAcentral.
UACGUAGGGACCAAGCGUUGUUCGGAUUUACUGGGCGUAAAGGGCGCGUAGGCGGCUUAACAAGUCACUUGUGAAAUCUCCGGGCUUAACUCGGAACGGCCAAGUGAAACUGUCAAGCUAGAGUGCAGAAGGGGCAAUCGGAAUUCUUGGUGUAGCGGUGAAAUGCGUAGAUAUCAAGAGGAACACCGGUGGCGAAGGCGGGUCUCUGGGCCGAUACUGACGCUGAGGAGCGAAAGCGUGGGGAGCAAACAGG